UAUUGCUUGGUCUCUCUGGUGUUGUGCUUGUCAUGCUGUCCGUUCUUGGAUCAGUGGGAUUUUUCAGUGUUAUAGGUGUAAAAUCUACCUUAAUCAUCAUGGAAGUUAUCCCAUUUCUUGUUCUAGCUGUUGGGGUAGAUAAUAUGUGUAUACUGGUGAAUGCUGUCAAACGGCAACCCUUGCAGUUGCCUUGUGGAAGUUGUGGAAGUUGGACCAUCAAUAACACUAGCUAGUCUAUCAGAGGUUUUAGCAUUCGCACUUACAAGUUUUAUUCCUAUGUCAGCAUGCCGCGUAUUCUCCAUGUUUGCAGGUUGGAAAUUCUGAUCUAUGAUAAACUUUGGAUAAGUGAAAUAGUUGUAGUACGUUUUUGUUGUCUUCCUGUCUUACCUCAGGCCUAUUCUCCAAACUUUCUCUUGCACAUUCUUCUGCAGCACUAGCUGUUUUGCUGGACUUCCUCCUUCAAGUUACUGCAUUUGUAGCUUUGAUUGUUUUUUAUUUUUGGAAAACUGAGGGUUGAUUGUUACUGUUUGGUUGAUAUGAUAGGUAUAUUUUGUAUCUCUUUUACCUAUUAAUUUAGUCAUGGUUUGAUAUAAAACAGUUGGAUUUGAUGUAUUUUGUGCGAAUUUUAUAGAAGUUAUUUUUUCGGAGAAAACUGGAUUUUUGGAAGAAUUACAAGGAAAGCACGAAAGAAUAACGAAGUGGACUGAUGCUAUGUGAGAGUGGUGCUGGAAUUUGGGCUUUAUCAAAUUAAGUCCAAUUUGGGCUUCAUAAAAACUGGCGUUGGACUAUUCCAAGGAGGGAAGGUUUUUAAUCCCCUUAUCAAGAAGGUUGCGGGAAAGGAAAAGAGGAGGGGGAUUUUAAAGGAAAAGGAGGGCAGAUUAAAAGGAGAGGAAUCCAGCAGCCGCAAGGUAGUGGGAGACAAAAAAAAAAAAAAAAAAAACACAGCGCAGACACAUACAUAAGCCGAGAGAAAGAAGAAGCAAUUGGAGAAUUCUAGCUUUGUUGUGGAGUGGAGAAUGGAAUUUCAGUUGUUUCCUUCUUUGUUUUCGAAUUCUAGCGUGGUGUAUUUUAAUUCGAUCAUGAACUAAGUCCUUUUGCUAGGAUUAGGGUGUACUCUUAUCAUGAACAUCUAAUUCUUAUUAUUUCAUAUUGAUCUCGGCUGUUUCCAUGUUGAGUAAUUGUUAUUGUGCUUUAUCGUUAUCAAAUAACUGGCCAUUAUUUGUGUGAAGAAC
Non-coding RNA from Malus domestica (apple), 1232 nucleotides. Lineage: Eukaryota; Viridiplantae; Streptophyta; Magnoliopsida; Rosales; Rosaceae. The record is from RefSeq and is a predicted model, not a curated record.